GCCAAAGGAGCUAAAGGAGCCAACGGAGCCAAAGGGGCCAAAGGAGCCGACGGAGCCAACGGAGCCAAAGGGGCCAAAGGAGCCAAAGGAGCCAAAGGAGCCAAAGGAGCCAACGGAGCCAAAGGGGCCAACGGAGCCAAAGAAGCCAACGGAGCCAAAGGGGCCAACGGAGCCAAAGAAGCCAACGAAGCCAAAGGGGCCAAAGGAGCAGAGGUGCUGGUGAGUUUAGGAAAAUCCCACUGAGGUUCAAUAAAGGAAAACAGGAUUUGUGAAUGAUCGACCGUCUCUACACACAGAGACACUUUUUCGUGUUCCGUGUGCACCUACGUCUGCAAAAGAAGCCGCUUCCUCCUCAACACGCAAACUGCUGUAAUUUAGUCUUACAACCUUAUAGGAAGGUUUGACAUUUUGUGAAAUACGUGUAGUUUUCUGACAGAAUAAAUAUUUACUUUGUGUCUGUGUGCUCAAUAUGAAGCUUAGCUUAGCAUAAAAAACAGCUUUGAAUUCACUUCAGCUACAAUUGUCUCACAUUUAAUGGAUUUUUAAAUAGAUUAAACACACACGCACACACACGCACGCACGCACGCACACACACACACACACUGGUCACUUUCACAUACACUCACAACAAAGUUGUUAUGGUUAUCUGUUCGCUUAACUUUUAUUUUUAACUUAAAUUCCUUCUUAUCCUUUAUUUUUAAAUAGGUGAUUUUAUUUCCCUCUGGCCUUAUAUUGUAUUUCGUAGAGUAAUUUGUAAAUUUAACAUUUUCUUGCUCAUCUGUGUUGUUAUCCAUCGUCUUGCUGUCUGAGGUUACGUAUUUUGGUAACAAAGGUUUGAUUCCUGAUCCCUGAAAAAAUAUGUUUCAUUAGUUUGUUAAGUGUGAAAAUGUGAAUUUGUGCAACGUUCACUGUUACACUUAAACUGUUUGCUUCUGUGUGCAGACUUUAUGCUAAGCUAAGCUAACUGGAAGCUUCAUACGGACGUGCACAAGCUACUGUUCAGCAGGAUGAUAAAUGACAUGUAAUGUAUUGAUGAACAAGGAAAAUAUGAGGAUGGUGCAGCAUUAAACAAAUCUAUGAAAUUAUUCAAACUUUCAUUAAGAAAGUGAACAUGCAAAAACCUCAUGUGGUCCAAAAAGUGCAGCAGAGCACCUGUUGCUUUUAUUUGGUCAAUCUUUUCUCCACAUGUCCGCAGUCAUCCACGUCCAAAGCGCACAGAUCCUCCUCGCUGACGGAUUCACUGCUUCAUAACUUUGCAAAGAAAAACACUUUAGAAGUUCCAUCAAUCGAGGCUCAUUGAGAGAAACCUCCGUCUAUAAACGCGCUUCACUCCCUGUAGCUCACGACGGAGCAGUUUCAUGCUACUUGUUCCAUUCUUUCCUUUUUACUUGUCUCUCAAAGUCCAUUACAGCUUCAUCGACAUGUUUCACUCCAAUGGAGCUGAGAGUGAGCAGUUUAUGAACUCAUAUUAAUAUUCUUCAUAACUUCCUUCAUAAAUGAGGUCGUAAAAAAGGUCCAUUGUACUCGGAGGAAUAAAGGAUUCAAAUCUCAUGAAGGCAGCAAACAUACAUAAAUACAGUAGUUAUUGCCCACUGAAAACUAUGUAUUUCCAAAAUAGGUGAGUUUGCUCCUUAAUGGGUAAGAUUCCACUUCUGAGCCGAAAUUGAAGGAAAAUCUGAUUUGAACACAGUUGUCUUUUCAGAGGUACAGAGUUUCCUCAUAGGAUCGUUGACGUAACCUAAACUGGCUUUGAAAGGAUCUUUUUUCUGGGAUCUAUUUUCUUUAUUGCUCAAAAGUACUCAAGCUUACAUUUCUAUUUCUAAUUUUUGUGUUGCAGGAGAUUAUGGAGAGAUCCCCAACAAUUACAAUCCACAAAACUGAUAUGAGACAAAGUCGAAAAAUAUAGAAAUGAAAAUGCAUCUUGACGUUUAGUGUCUGACUUCCACCUAAAAGCUUCUCUGUCGCUGCUCCUGGUGAAAGUUGGUGAAAGUGGGAGAACGUGUGAAACGCUUUGUGAACCUCAACAGGAAGUGAGGGUCAUCGGUAUCUCCAUGGCAACAGGAAUAUGGCUGCCUGGAGCCAGAAGGAGGGUGAGCGAACGAAACACAUGAAUCACCCAUUUACACAUACUUCAUAUUUAAGCACAAUCGCCAAAACGCUCUUAAAUGUAAUAAUGAUCUGGUUUUCUUUGUCUUCUUUGAAGAUGAAUUAUUGUCUUUUCACGUUAUAAUUGUUGGUCAUACAAUGUGUGCUUUCUACCAUGUGGAUCUUUGGCAAAUUCAUAAUUUUAAAAUUAUUUAUUAUUGAAGUAUUCAGUUUUUAUUACAUUAUAAAUAUUGCUGAUUCAUUUUUAUAUUUUAUUUCCAUAUUAGUACAGACUUUUCUUAAUAAUGUUAAACAUUAUUUUAUUUAACUGACUGAAGCUAUAAGUGACACCGUCACCAGGUGCAUCAUAUUCAUACAUAUAUAUAUGUAUAUACAUAUAUAUAUAUAUAUACAUACAUAUAUAUACAUAUACAUAUAUAUAUGCACCACAACAAAAGGUCUUUCCCAAAUUGCAUUUACAACUCGUCUGCUACAGAAAAUACGUUUUGAGGGCAAAUAUGAUGCAUCCUUUUUCUGUAGAAUAUCCGAAAAGUCAAAGCAUUUAGUUGAGAUUGAGGUAAUGAUCGUUUCAUAUUACUAUUCUAUUAUUCUAUUAUUCCCACAGCGCUUGUAGAGUGCUGAUUCGACAGCUGUCCACGUGCACGCUGCUCCAGUCUACUCUGCGCUUCAUUUGUUUGUAAAUCUGCCUCUGGCCACUGACUUGAACCAUCUUCACCCUCAUGUGUGGACUGAAUCCCGUUAGCGGUCAUUAGCGCCGAUCAAACACUCCUGAGGAGGUUCUGACACCAGAGUGCACGUAUGAGUCUGCAGGCCGCGCACGGAGCGGCGGGCAGGAGGCUCCUGACGGGACCGCCGAGGUGGAAGGAGUGCAGCUCAGGGGGCCGAGUUAGAGGAGCAGGGGACGGUGAGACACGGCGGAGAAGGACUUUGUGGGUUAGCGGCGUUUCAGCCCACGGGGGCACAUGGGAGCCGUGGCCUGAGGAUGGAUCCCAGCCGACCCCCCCGAGGUGUCAAUGUUAUGACAUGUGUCCCGCUCCGCUGUUUUCUCUCACAACAACAGCACUUCAUCUUCCAGGGUGGUCGGGCCUCAUAAAAGAAGCUUGAUUUACCCGCUGGGGGACCAGAGCGUCCACCUUCUCUUCUUCCUGUUGCACUUACGCUUCACUUCCUGUGGGCCAGCACCCAACCGUCGGCGGGAAGAAGUUGGAUUCCCUCUCUGAUGUGCGCGCGGAAGAGGACCGCCUCCUGGAGGUUACCGUUGGAGACAAUCGUCCCUUUUCGCGUUUGUCGGUCGUGCUUUGCUUACGUCCGCCGUGACGGCCGCUCAGAUGUCCCCCCCCCGAUGACGACGACGUCUCCGGCUGAAAACAGAGUCGAGCGCUGCAGAUGGAAAGCAUGACGCGCCUUAGUGGAUGUCCUGCGGCGGCUGCAGGCCGAAGACGACCGCGGAUGUCAGCAGGGUUUUGGGGAGAUGAUAUUUAUUGUCACGCGUGAUGAGUCACACGCGUAACGAUGCCUGCGUCUUUAAAACGUUCUGAAAACAUCUGGAAACGGUGAAUGCGACAUUCUUUUAGGGUUUUCUGCUCCUUCGGUUGAUGUUGGUUACGUUUGGACAGUAACUUCUCCUUGGUAGAAGUGAGGAGACGGAUCCAUCGUGGUUCCCCACGUCGACUCUCAAACGCUUCGGUCGCCCGAUCAUCCGCGCCGACUGUCCCCGAUGUUUGCUGGCCAUCGCACAAUUACACAACAACUGACGUAAGAAUUUGUCCCUGUUCGUUUACACUGAGGAGUCAGUUCGGUGAGUUUGUAAAGGACGAUGCUGAUUGGAUCAGACGAGACCACAUGGUCGACAUUAAGAACAAACCAGCGCUGUUAUUAAAUUCAGGUACAGGAAGUCGAUCCAGCGAAAGGCGUCUGGGUUGGUUUUGGUUUUGGGACAGAAGCUGGAGCAUGAGCUCCUGUAGAAACUGGGCGAGGACAAUACAGAGACAGCAGAGACACGGUUCCAGGACGGAUGCUGUUGUUUUCUUGUUGCUCUGAUCACAAAACAAAGCUUUUUGUAUUUCAUCCUUUUUAUUCGUGUAAACAAACCAAAACCGUCUGCGCGGCCCGACACCACUUGAGCUUAUUGGACCCUUUAAAGUUCCUCUGCUGCCCACAAGAAAAAUGUCUCCGUUCAACACGAGCCAAACCAGUGACGAGGCGAUAAAAUGACAAAUCCCACUGAAUCCCAACGAACGUCUCACCGCCUCCUCGCGCUGAACCCACCCAGCCGUCAUUGUCUCACCCUGUCCAGGCGGCGCGAGCUCGUCCUCUGGCGCCGCCGAGAGAAGCGGCCUCUCGUCUGGUGGCACAAAUAGGGAAACCCUUAUGCCUCGUUGCCAUCGCCAAUACAUCCGAACCACCGUGAUGGUCCCACACAAAUAUUUCUUGUUGUAGGCGGCGUCCAAGACCAACAGGGUGUGAAUGGAAAAGGAAACCUGCGUUCUGUCACAGCUCAAAGGCUGCCGGCCAAAAGUCAACGAGUGAAAAGUCUCCCCACCUCGCCGGCCGAUGCUCUUAACCUCCCUUCAUCUCGCAGGAGUGUUUGGUCACCAGCACGUCGCCGUCUGCUUUUUCUCUUUCUUAAUACAACUUUUCCCACAUGAGGCGGCCGCUGUUUCAGAGAUAAUCCAAGUGUUCUUUCUAACAGUCAUUUGCAUUUCAUUAAUUAAAGCAAACAUGGCCUCAAGUGGCUCCAGGAGCAGAUCCACGGCGUCCCGCAGUGUUUCUUAAAUACGUGUAAUAUAUGCAGCCAGGCGUGUUAUGAACGAGGUUUUCUUUGCUAAGUGUCCCGGGUCUGUUUUUGUAUGUCAAAGCACAUGAUUGACUGCGCAGAAAAAGAAAACAUCUUAACACGUGUGAUGGUCAGGAAUUAAGGUAUUUAUUCUAAUUUGAUAAUAAAAAGAGUCUUUGAAUGUUGUGACUUUUUCCUGCAAAUAUGUAGAUGCAUAAGUGAAUAAUUGGUCUAAGAGGAAAAUAAACAACUUCAAUAAAGUAGAUUAUUUCACCUCCAGCAGCAACACAAAUCCGACGUGUUCCUGCAGAAGAAGUAAACUUAGUGUUCCUCUUACUUAAAAUGUAAAUAAAGAAAAUGAAACAUUAACAAAGCCUCCGUCUAAAAUGUACUUAACAUGACAGAGAUGAUUGACAGUCGAUCAUUUGUUGGAUGAAAUAUUUAUGGCGCCCACCAAGGUUCAGGUCACUUAAUAAAGCAGAACCUUGUUCUUCCAAUAAAACGCACAACAUUUUGAGACCCAUCACUUCGUAUUAUCAUUAAGUGUGAUAUCUCCACAUCUACGAGGGAAUUCUAAUUUAAAAUAAAAUCUCCCAUUGAGCCGGUGGUUUGUUGAGAAGCUGUCAUGAGAUAGAAGGUCAUUUAUACGUCACAUGUGUCGAGUCCAGCGCACAGCUGGGUGCAUUUCCUUCCAUCAAAAGAUCCCUUUUCUGCCUUUUUCCAAGUUCAUUUUCACGUCUAAAGCUCAGCAAUGCGCAUUGGACGAAAACAUCACUGUGACUCACAUCCCGCUUCCAUUCCACCCGAGAACACACCGUCAAUGGGGAUCCAACCUGUCAAAAUAUAUGAUUGGCAGGUAUUUGAAAACGCGAGCUGUAAAUGUCAAUAUGUGGUGUAACACAAGCCGUGGAGUGACUACAUGUAGCUGCUGGACAACGGCCCACUUUGAGGACGUGCUGGAGCAGGAA
This is a long non-coding RNA of Gasterosteus aculeatus aculeatus (three-spined stickleback), 5850 nucleotides long. Lineage: Eukaryota; Metazoa; Chordata; Actinopteri; Perciformes; Gasterosteidae. The record is from Ensembl.